GUUCCAUUUCGGGUGGGUUCUAGCGCUCCGCUUCGCUGAGUACUGCUAUCGCCUUCGUUUCUACGGGCCACGGGCUCCUGGGAUUCACUUCUCGCCAUCCGGAUUCCGUGAUGAUACUUUCAGUAAAUUGGAGUGUUCAAAGCAAGCCUGCGCUCUGAACAAAUUAGCAUCCAAUAUCACGAUAGGACUCUGGCCUAUCUUGUUGGUCUGUAGGACCAGAGUAAUGAUUAAGAGGGACAGUCGGGGGCAUUCGUAUUUCAUUGUCAGACCUGAAAUUCUUGGAAAUAUGAAAGACGAACUACUGCGAAAGCAUUUGCCAAGGAUGUUUUCAUUAAUCAAGAACGAAAGUUGGGGGCUCGAAACCAUUAGAUACCGUCGUAGUCUCAAGGAUAAACGAUGGGGACUAGGAUUAGCAGACGUUUCAUUGAUGACUCUGCUAGCACCUUAUGUGAAAACAAAGUUAAUGGGUUCCGGGGGAGUAUGGUCGCAGGCUGAAACUUAAAGGAAUUGACGGACCCAGGACCGUGGAGCCUGCGGCUUAAUUUGACUCACACGGGAAAACUUACCCCAGACAUAGUGAGGAUUGACAGAUUGAGAGCUCUUUCUUGAUUCUAUGGGGGGGCAUGGUUCUUAUUGGCCGCCAAGUCAUCUAACGAACAAGGAGCUCUAAACCAUGCGUGCUGUAGAUUUUAGAAGCCUUGAAAACG
Molecule: ribosomal RNA, 707 nt
Filed under: Neochloris conjuncta
Lineage: Eukaryota; Viridiplantae; Chlorophyta; Chlorophyceae; Sphaeropleales; Neochloridaceae
Description: SSU rRNA
Rfam family: Eukaryotic small subunit ribosomal RNA
Source: RNAcentral